AGGUGGCCGCAGAGAAUAGGCCCAAGCGACUGUUUACCAAAAACAUAGGUUUCUGCUAAGUCGCAAGACGAUGUAUAGGAGCUGACGCCUGCCCGGUGCUGGAAGGUUAAGGGGAUCUGUUAGAGCAAUCGAAGCAGUGAACUUAAGCCCCAGUAAACGGCGGCCGUAACUAUAACGGUCCUAAGGUAGCGAAAUUCCUUGUCGGGUAAGUUCCGACCCGCACGAAAGGCGUAACGAUUUGGGCACUGUC
RNAcentral lists this ribosomal RNA (250 nucleotides) under Clostridioides difficile. RNAcentral describes it as "partial 23S ribosomal RNA". It matches the Rfam family "Bacterial large subunit ribosomal RNA", at positions 1771 to 2020 of the family's 2925-position model. Lineage: Bacteria; Bacillati; Bacillota; Clostridia; Peptostreptococcales; Peptostreptococcaceae. The record is from RNAcentral.